UCCUCCAGUGUAUUAAUAUGAAACCAGUCAAAAAAUGAGACAUUCUAAAUGGAAACAAAAGUCUUCAUUUCAACUGCAUUGGGAUUAAGUUCUUUCAUAAGGUAAUACAUGGGACACAAAAUAGAAAAUAUUGCAUCUAUUAGUAUAUUAGAUUAGACAGUUUUUCAAUUACUUUUAGUACCGAAAGUCUAUGAAUCAGUAAAAACAGUUUAGUUGAAACUGUUUCCUCUUAGAGCACAUUUCAAAACACUUUUCACAUAGAGAAGCAAAUUCAGCUCCAAAUUCAAUUCAUAUCCAAAUUUAUCUUUUAAGAGCAAUACCUAAUUUUCUCUCCAAAUGAGCUUAUAGAGUAUUUACUCAAAAAGAACAGAUACUGUCUU
RNAcentral lists this long non-coding RNA (380 nucleotides) under Bos taurus (domestic cattle). RNAcentral describes it as "long non-coding RNA NONBTAT007263". The record is from RNAcentral. Lineage: Eukaryota; Metazoa; Chordata; Mammalia; Artiodactyla; Bovidae.